GUGAGUUUAUAACCAAAACUGGCUGCUCACUGCCCAUUCCCAGCAUAGAGACCGACUUCUCUAUGCUGUUUCCAGGAUUUUCAACUAGAAUUGCAACAAGGGGCUUUUUAUGGGAAUCUCUCCAUGACUUUUGAAAGAAAAUUGCAAAGGAGAUACUUCAAGAGGAAAAAAAGCUAUAAAUUGAAGCAACAAAUUGUGAGCAUCUGUGUGCACAUCCCUUUGCAUCCUGGUACCACUGCUGGCACACGGCUCUCAGGAGGAGUUCAGUGAUGGUGACAAAAUUCAAUUUCAAUGUCCCU
RNAcentral lists this long non-coding RNA (299 nucleotides) under Junco hyemalis (dark-eyed junco). Its description in RNAcentral is "lncRNA (ENSJHYG00000007748.1)". Lineage: Eukaryota; Metazoa; Chordata; Aves; Passeriformes; Passerellidae. The record is from RNAcentral.